This 475-nucleotide ribosomal RNA is filed under the name uncultured organism. RNAcentral describes it as "partial 16S ribosomal RNA". It matches the Rfam family "Bacterial small subunit ribosomal RNA", at positions 331 to 797 of the family's 1533-position model. The record is from RNAcentral.
GUACACUCCUGCGGGAGGCAGCAGUGGGGAAUUUUGGACAAUGGGCGAAAGCCUGAUCCAGCAAUGCCGCGUGUGUGAAGAAGGCCUUCGGGUUGUAAAGCACUUUUGUCCGGAAAGAAAUCCUUGGCUCUAAUACAGUCGGGGGAUGACGGUACCGGAAGAAUAAGCACCGGCUAACUACGUGCCAGCAGCCGCGGUAAUACGUAGGGUGCGAGCGUUAAUCGGAAUUACUGGGCGUAAAGCGUGCGCAGGCGGUUUGCUAAGACCGAUGUGAAAUCCCCGGGCUCAACCUGGGAACUGCAUUGGUGACUGGCAGGCUAGAGUAUGGCAGAGGGGGGUAGAAUUCCACGUGUAGCAGUGAAAUGCGUAGAGAUGUGGAGGAAUACCGAUGGCGAAGGCAGCCCCCUGGGCCAAUACUGACGCUCAUGCACGAAAGCGUGGGGAGCAAACAGGAUUAGAAACCCUUGUAGUCCCA